CGUAGGCAGCGAGCGUUGUUCGGAAUUACUGGGCGUAAAGAGUGUGUAGGCGGUGCUCUAAGUUUGGUGUGAAAUCUCCCGGCUCAACCGGGAGGGUGCAUCGAAAACUGGAGUGCUCGAGGGUGGGAGAGGUAAGCGGAAUUCCUGGUGUAGCGGUGAAAUGCGUAGAUAUCAGGAGGAACACCUGUGGUGUAGACAGCUUACUGGACCACUUCUGACGCUGAGACACGAAAGCGUGGGUAGCAAACAGGAUUAGAUACCCUGGUAGUCCACGCCCUAAACGAUGCAUACUUGGUGUGAGCCAUUCAUUUGGUUCGUGCCGGAGCUAACGCGUUAAGUAUGCCGCCUGGGGAGUACGGUCGCAAGGCUG
This 370-nucleotide ribosomal RNA is filed under the name uncultured organism. Its description in RNAcentral is "bacterial SSU rRNA". It matches the Rfam family "Bacterial small subunit ribosomal RNA", at positions 526 to 896 of the family's 1533-position model. The record is from RNAcentral.